AUACGUAGGGGGCGAGCGUUGUCCGGAAUGAUUGGGCGUAAAGGGCGCGUAGGCGGCCCGGUAAGUCUGGAGUGAAAGUCCUGUUUUUAAGAUGGGAAUUGCUUUGGAUACUGUCGGGCUUGAGUGCAGGAGAGGUAAGUGGAAUUCCCAGUGUAGCGGUGAAAUGCGUAGAGAUUGGGAGGAACACCAGUGGCGAAGGCGAAUUACUGGACUGUAACUGACGCUGAGGCGCGAAAUUGUGGGGAGCAAACAGGAUUAGAUACCCUGGUAGUCCACACUGUAAACGAUGAAUGCUAGGUGUAGGGGGUAUCGACCCCUUCUGUGCCGCAGUCAACACAAUAAGCAUUCCGCCUGGGGAGUACGGCCGCAAGGUUGAAACUCAAAUGAAUUGACGGGG
This 397-nucleotide ribosomal RNA is filed under the name uncultured bacterium. RNAcentral's name for it is "partial 16S ribosomal RNA". It matches the Rfam family "Bacterial small subunit ribosomal RNA", at positions 523 to 918 of the family's 1533-position model. The record is from RNAcentral.